This 253-nucleotide ribosomal RNA is filed under the name uncultured bacterium. RNAcentral's name for it is "partial 16S ribosomal RNA". It matches the Rfam family "Bacterial small subunit ribosomal RNA", at positions 524 to 776 of the family's 1533-position model. The record is from RNAcentral.
CACGUAGGGCGCAAGCGUUGUCCGGAAUUAUUGGGCGUAAAGAGCUCGUAGGCGGUCUGUUGCGUCCGCUGUGAAAACCCGGGGCUUAACCCCUGGCUUGCAGUGGAUACGGACAGACUAGAGGUAGGUAGGGGAGAAUGGAAUUCCUGGUGUAGCGGUGAAAUGCGUAGAUAUCAGGAAGAACACCCGUGGCGAAGGCGGCUCUCUGGGACGUGACUGACGCUGAGACGCGAAAGCGUGGGGAGCGAACAGG